AUUGAACGCUGGCGGCAGGCCUAACACAUGCAAGUCGAACGAGUGGCGGACGGGUGAGUAAUGUAUGGGAAACUGCCUGAUGGAGGGGGAUAAGUAGUGGAAAAGGUAGCUAAUACCGCAUAACAUCAGAUGUGGCCAGAGGGCAUGAGCUUGUUGGUGGGGUAACGGCUCACCAAGGCGACGAGCCCUAGCUGGUCUGAGAGGAUGACCGGCCACACUGGAACUGAGACACGGUCCAGACUCCUACGGGAGGCAGCAGUAGGGAAUAUUGCACAAUGGGCGAAAGCCUGAUCCAGCCAUGCCGCGUGUAUGAAGAAGGCCUUCGGGUUGUAAAGUACUUUCGGCAGGGAGGCGUUACCCACAGAGGAAGCAACGGCUAACUCCGUGCCAGCCGCCGCGGUAAUAC
RNAcentral lists this ribosomal RNA (406 nucleotides) under uncultured bacterium. RNAcentral describes it as "partial 16S ribosomal RNA". It matches the Rfam family "Bacterial small subunit ribosomal RNA", at positions 30 to 526 of the family's 1533-position model. The record is from RNAcentral.